Molecule: unclassified non-coding RNA, 1639 nt
Filed under: Orbicella faveolata
Lineage: Eukaryota; Metazoa; Cnidaria; Anthozoa; Scleractinia; Merulinidae
Description: e3 ubiquitin-protein ligase DZIP3-like, transcript variant X2
Source: RNAcentral
ACCAUUAUGAUAUGGGAUAGCCAACCCAGACGAGCAAACCCGUCGGGAUACACUGAGGGCGCUAAUUAAGUAAACAAGCAGGGUGUGGAGGGAGGGGUGACUUUUCAGUUUUGGACUUAGCGCAAAUGACACCCUUGCAUAAUUAGUUAAGUCUUAUAUAAUGCUUAUUACGUCAUUACAAGGGAUAAUAAAUAUUUGCGUUCUGUCAAUCUGUUUGUGCAGAUGGACAGAACAGCGUAUCUAAACCAGCCCGAUGUAAAUAUGGCCUAUUUUGCAUUCAGAGGGGUUGAGUGUGACGUUUGGCUCGUUAUUUCUCUUCAGGCGGCCGAUCGUGACAACGCUAUUGAGUACGAUGUAAGAUCCAUCAGAAUCCUAAGGUGGAACAACAUUCAUUCAAAGCGGAGUCUGACUUGACUGGAGAAUGGCUGCUGCCCCAGACCCAGAUGAAAUUCUUCGUUCAACAAAAGGAAAAGGAAAUUUUCAACGUGUAGCACGACUGUUGAUAAGUGGAGGUACUACACUUCUGAGAGAAAUUUUCGAUCAACUCUCUCCACCAAGUAGUCUUCCCACGAUACUAAAACGUCCAGCCACACAGAAACAACUCAAAGCAGCAAAGCUCACCAAGCCACAGUGGGACUGUCUGUACCCUUCCCCAGGGGUGUACGGCAAGUCAGCAGAUUUUGAUGUUACUUUGCUAUUCAGGUUGCUGAGGACAAUAUGCAACCUCACCCCUCUCACCACCGGAUGGGAUGCACUGCCCACAAGCACAGACAACAGUUUAGUUGCAGACUUAGUGAGAAUUAAAUAUUACCGUAAUUCAGUGUAUGGUCACGUGAGCCAAAAUAUGGAAAUUACGGAUGACGAGUUCCCACAGCUUUGGGAAGACAUCAGUGAAGCGCUGCUUAGAAUUGCUGGGCAAAUCAGCCCUACGAAGAAAACAGCAUGGCAGGAGGCCAUUGGUAACUUUUUAAAGGAUCCCCUUACAGCCGAGGAUGAACGAAAUGUCCAGGAACUGCGAAGGUGGUACAAAAAUGAUGUGGAAGUAAAGGAAUUCAUAGAGUCCUCAGCUCAAAAAACGAGAAAAAGAAUGAAACGUCUGAAGAGGUCUGUUCGAGAGGAAGCCCAAUAAAUCAGAGAUCAGCUCGGAGGGGAACUGAAAACCACAAGUCAAGACGUUCAAAGCCUAGUUCGAGAGGAAACUCAAGACAUCAAAGAUCAGCUGGGAGAGAUGCAUCAAUCCAUAGAUAGGCUCAGCUCCUCCGCUGGCACCUCUCAAGCAGCAGGAGCUCGUCUUGGAGUGAGGAUUAAUGGCAAAACAGUCCAGGGAGUGGCAAUGGUACAUGUGACGUCGCGUAAACGAAAGGCAGACACUAGUUUUCCCACAGCACAGCAAGUUUUGAAUCUCGCGGCGUCAAAAUAUUUGAAAACAAUUGACCCAUCGAAACCAGAGGACUUAAAUGGCUUUGUUUAUUACAUGGAAAAAGUACGAAAAACAUUGCUCGUGGAUACUAAGUCAGGGAGUUUGAUCAUCACAGUUGAAUGUCGCUCUCUGGAAAUACUUGACGGAUUGUGGUCUGAUUAUUGCACUGGCUUUCUGAAUAAAAUGGUGCAAAAAUUCCUUGUGACCGAUGAGGUUUUC